RNAcentral lists this ribosomal RNA (373 nucleotides) under uncultured organism. Its description in RNAcentral is "partial 16S ribosomal RNA". It matches the Rfam family "Bacterial small subunit ribosomal RNA", at positions 527 to 896 of the family's 1533-position model. The record is from RNAcentral.
GUAGGUGGCAAGCGUUGUCCGGAAUUAUUGGGCGUAAAGCGCGCGCAGGCGGUUCUUUAAGUCUGAUGUGAAAGCCCACGGCUCAACCGUGGAGGGUCAUUGGAAACUGGAGAACUUGAGUACAGAAGAGGAAAGCGGAAUUCCACGUGUAGCGGUGAAAUGCGUAGAGAUGUGGAGGAACACCAGUGGCGAAGGCGGCUUUCUGGUCUGUAACUGACGCUGAGGCGCGAAAGCGUGGGGAGCAAACAGGGAUUAGAUACCCUGGUAGUCCACGCCGUAAACGAUGAGUGCUAAGUGUUAGGGGGUUUCCCGCCCCUUAGUGCUGCAGCUAACGCAUUAAGCACUCCGCCUGGGGAGUACGGCCGCAAGGCUG